CGCACAUUGCGCCCCUUGGUAUUCCGGGGGGCAUGCCUGUUCGAGCGUCAUUAUAACCCUCAAGCCUAGCUUGGUGUUGGGGCAUGCCCUAUGGCAGCCCUUAAAACUAGUGGCAGUGCCCUCGAGCUCUAAGCGUAGUAACUUUCUCGCUAUAGGGUUUUGAGGUCGCUUGCCAGAACCCCUAAUUUUCUAUGGUUGACCUCGGAUCAGGUAGGGAUACCCGCUGAACUUAA
RNAcentral lists this unclassified non-coding RNA (233 nucleotides) under Helotiaceae sp. RNAcentral describes it as "partial contains 5.8S ribosomal RNA, internal transcribed spacer 2, and large subunit ribosomal RNA". The record is from RNAcentral. Lineage: Eukaryota; Fungi; Ascomycota; Leotiomycetes; Helotiales; Helotiaceae.